CAAGUCGAGCGAAUCCUGCCUUCCACCCAGCUCUCAAGGUCGAAAAGCCGGAAGCGUAAGCGGCCAGGCGAGCCGGGAGCGUGAGCGACCGGAGUAGAUCUUGGAGAGUGAGGUGGAGGGCAGGGGAAGCGGCGAAAGGGGCAGUAAUGCGUGGGUAACGUACCCCGGGGACGUGGAUAGCCCUUCUAACGAGGGGGUAAUACACGGCGAUUUGGCGAGGUGGCAUCAUCUCGCCAGGAAAUGAAUUUCGCCUCGGGAGCGGCUCACGUGGUAUUAGCUAGUUGGUGGGGUAACGGCCCACCAAGGCAAAGAUGCCUAGCGGGUGUGAGAGCACGACCCGCGCCACUGGCACUGAGACACUGGCCAGACACCUACGGGUGGCUGCAGUCGAGGAUCUUUGGCAAUGGGCGAAAGCCUGACCAAGCGACGCCGCGUGGAGGAUGAAGGCCUUCGGGUUGUAAACUCCUGUCGAGGGGGAUCAAGGGGCAACCUUGAGUGAUCCCUGGAGGAAGCUCGGGCUAAGUUCGUGCCAGCAGCCGCGGUAAGACGAACCGAGCGAACGUUGUUCGGAAUCACUGGGCUUAAAGGGCGCGUAGGCGGCUUACCAAGUCAGGGGUGAAAUUUUGCGGCUUAACCGUAACAGUGCCUUUGAUACUGGUAGGCUAGAGGGAGACAGGGGUCCGCGGAACUUCUGGUGGAGCGGUGAAAUGCGUUGAUAUCAUAAGGAACGCCGGUGGCGAAAGCGGCGGACUGGAUCUUUUCUGACGCUG
RNAcentral lists this ribosomal RNA (770 nucleotides) under uncultured Planctomycetota bacterium. Its description in RNAcentral is "bacterial SSU rRNA". It matches the Rfam family "Bacterial small subunit ribosomal RNA", at positions 58 to 748 of the family's 1533-position model. The record is from RNAcentral. Lineage: Bacteria; Pseudomonadati; Planctomycetota.